RNAcentral lists this ribosomal RNA (465 nucleotides) under uncultured Dialister sp. Its description in RNAcentral is "bacterial SSU rRNA". It matches the Rfam family "Bacterial small subunit ribosomal RNA", at positions 338 to 795 of the family's 1533-position model. The record is from RNAcentral. Lineage: Bacteria; Bacillati; Bacillota; Negativicutes; Veillonellales; Veillonellaceae.
CCUACGGGUGGCAGCAGUGGGGAAUCUUCCGCAAUGGACGAAAGUCUGACGGAGCAACGCCGCGUGAACGAAGAAGGUCUUCGGAUUGUAAAGUUCUGUGAUUCGGGACGAAAGGGUUUGUGGUGAAUAAUCAUAGACAUUGACGGUACCGAAAAAGCAAGCCACGGCUAACUACGUGCCAGCAGCCGCGGUAAUACGUAGGUGGCAAGCGUUGUCCGGAAUUAUUGGGCGUAAAGCGCGCGCAGGCGGUUUCUUAAGUCCAUCUUAAAAGCGUGGGGCUCAACCCCAUGAGGGGAUGGAAACUGGGAAGCUGGAGUAUCGGAGAGGAAAGUGGAAUUCCUAGUGUAGCGGUGAAAUGCGUAGAGAUUAGGAAGAACACCGGUGGCGAAGGCGACUUUCUAGACGAAAACUGACGCUGAGGCGCGAAAGCGUGGGGAGCAAACAGGAUUAGAUACCCGAGUAGUC